RNAcentral lists this ribosomal RNA (61 nucleotides) under Lactobacillus kefiranofaciens. RNAcentral's name for it is "16S ribosomal RNA". The record is from RNAcentral. Lineage: Bacteria; Bacillati; Bacillota; Bacilli; Lactobacillales; Lactobacillaceae.
CGAGCGAGCGGAACCAGCAGAAUCACUUCGGUGAGGACGCUGGGRAAGCGAGCSGCGGAUG